UAGGGAAUAUUGGGCAAUGGAGGCAACUCUGACCCAGCCAUGCCGCGUGCAGGAAGACGGCCCUCUGGGUUGUAAACUGCUUUUGAAUGGGAAGAAUGUGUGGCUUGCGAGCUAUAAUGACGGUACCAUUAGAAUAAGCCACGGCUAACUACGUGCCAGCAGCCGCGGUAAUACGUAGGUGGCGAGCGUUAUCCGGAUUUAUUGGGUUUAAAGGGUGCGUAGGCGGCUUAAUAAGUCGGUGGUAAAAGGU
RNAcentral lists this ribosomal RNA (250 nucleotides) under uncultured bacterium. RNAcentral describes it as "partial 16S ribosomal RNA". It matches the Rfam family "Bacterial small subunit ribosomal RNA", at positions 355 to 602 of the family's 1533-position model. The record is from RNAcentral.